This 1872-nucleotide long non-coding RNA is filed under the name Homo sapiens (human). Its description in RNAcentral is "HSALNT0344097". The record is from RNAcentral. Lineage: Eukaryota; Metazoa; Chordata; Mammalia; Primates; Hominidae.
AGUGCUAGCAUAGAAUCUAACAAGAAAUGGCCCUGCAUCCAUUCUCUUUUCUUCUAAUAACAGCCCCAGAUUUCCAUUUUUGGACCUACCUUUUCCUUUUUAUCAGGCUAAGUGUUCAUGGUGGGGCUCUGUCCUUAGUUCCAGGGAUAAAGCCUGUGACCCAAACUUAAACCGCAGAUCAUUUUCCCCAGGCCAUGGAGAUUGUUUCAAAUGUGGGCACAUGGCCUGAAUGGGUCAUAUCAGAGUAAAUCUUAGGGCUUCUGGGUUAUGCCACCAUCACAGGCUCUUGCUUUCCUCACUGAACUUGAACCUAGACGGAUGUAAGCUGGAGCUGUGGCAGCCAUCAUUGCCCUGUGAAAAGUCCACUUGGAGCUGCCAAAGACCACCCCAGGAGCUUCAGAAUGAAGACAACCUGGAAGUCAGAGCUGACAGAAAUAAGGUGAAGUUAGCUUGAGGAAAGAGCUGUAAGGAAGAGUGAAGUCAGCUGAGUCAAGGACACAAGCGGAAAAUGUGCAAAGAUGAGCCAGAAGCAUGGAAAAGUACCUCCAAGACAGAGGAGAACUGAUCCAAGAGAAAGGAGAUGGGAGUGGGCAUCACGUACAGCCAGAGGGCGCCACCUGCCGAAAUGCCUCUUAUUGUUUACAUUAUGAAGUCUCAACUUGGAUGGAAGCCCAACUGCAACACGGCCUCCUAAAAUGAGACGCAACUGUUCAACUGAACUGUUCUCAGGACUAAAAGGCUGUGUCAAUAAGAUACGGGGAAUAUUUGUUCUUCUGUGUGUUCCGAUCCUUGUUUUUCUUUCCCUUCGUUGAUCUCUUGUUUCACAACUUCCAACCCAAAUCUGCUCACAGCUACUAACUUGGCUUUUAACAUAUGAAACUUUCUAAAAGUAAAGUUUCAAAUGGGGAAUGAAGAGGCUCAGAAUACACUACCCCAAAACAUGUCACUCAGAACACAUCAUCCCCAAAUAUGCCACUUUGGCAUCAGAAUUAUUUUAAACUAAAGGCACAUAAAAACAGGAGAUGCAAGAAGAUCACUCUGACCUUCACUGUUCUUUAAAAGCCAGAGAUGAAAUUCCCAUGUGAAAGGUGUUCUCCCUAAACCAAGAAGAAAGUAACAUUCUCAUCACAAAGGAUAGGAAGUUGAGGCUGAUAGGAAUCUAUACAAGCAUCCCUUAUGUUCCUAAUUACUUAUUUACCCAGUUAUUUACCCUAGCAUAAGCCCCUUUGCCUUGUUACAUUUUCACAAUUCAGGGCAUAAAUGUUUGACUCUAGCUGCUGCUUUGUGUCUUCAUUUCCUUAUGAAUGCUCUCCUGCCAUUAAAAAACUUGCAUUAAAUAAUUUAUAUACUUUUCUCCUGUUGAUUUGUCUUAUGUCUAUUUAAUUCUCCAGGCCCAGGCAACAAACAAACAAACAAGAAAACAAAACAAAAACAAAAAACCCCCAACAACAACAACAACAAAACCAUAAAAGAGGAGGGGCAAAUUUUUGCCUCCUCUUCUGCAUUUUUCACAUGCUUUAUCCUGUUUUCACUUCUUUACUUUCUGGCACUAUAAGGUGUUCCAGGCUCAUCUUAUAUUUAUUUUCCCUAUCCUAGCCCUGGAAUCAGCCACUUCUACACUUCUUGAAGGAGUCCUGGUUCCUUUCAUCAGGGAACGGCAUUUCGAAAUCAAGAUCUGAGUGCUGGCUGUGCUCAUUGCUACUGGUGUCACUGCUCAUAGUCUCCUCUCUCUCAGUGGGCAGAGCUAGCUCUCCUUUAGCUUUCUUCCAUAAAUUUUGAUUUGCUGGCAUUUUAUAUCAACUUAUUUAAACAUAUUUUUAAAAUUUGCCUUGAAGUUCUCCUUGAAGAGGUCCUUCACAUCCCUUGUAAGUU